UAGCUGUCAAACAGUUGCCAAUUUUUUAUCAAUAAUAUAUUUUUAUUACUCGAAUAAUAUUUUAUAUUUAUUUAUUAAAAGCAUGGUCUUAUCACACAAACCAAUUUUUAAAUUAAUAGGAAUUAAUUACCUGAUUUAUUCCUCAAUUUGUGCCAAGAUUACCAGAAGGGCUCUCAAGCAAAAAUUUUUAAAAGAAGCAUACAGAAGAGAUGUCAGCGUUAUCACCAUUUUCCAUGUAGUAAAUGGUAGAAAGGGAAAAGAGUUUGAGCCACUGCAGCCAAAAGUCGAGGAAGAAAUCAGCUUGGUUAAGAAGACUGUGGUUAAAAGUGCCACCUAAUGAACUCGAUUUAAUAUCAACUGAACAUUAAAUUUAAUAAACAUUUUGAUAUCUACCA
Molecule: long non-coding RNA, 395 nt
Organism: Anthonomus grandis grandis
Lineage: Eukaryota; Metazoa; Arthropoda; Insecta; Coleoptera; Curculionidae
Exons: 2
Source: RefSeq, a predicted model, not a curated record